This is a long non-coding RNA of Brassica oleracea var. oleracea, 262 nucleotides long. RefSeq lists it as uncharacterized. Lineage: Eukaryota; Viridiplantae; Streptophyta; Magnoliopsida; Brassicales; Brassicaceae. The record is from RefSeq and is a predicted model, not a curated record. The transcript is spliced from 2 exons.
GGUUUUUGUUGGGCGGGUCUUGUUUUGUUUAUUACCCUAUCGGGUUUACACUAUCGGGCUUCGGGUACCCGAUGGUUUUUUUUUUUAAAAAAAAAUUAACCGAAACGACGUCGUUUUACAUUAUAUUUUACCCCAAAUUUUUGUUUCUCCCGUAACCACAGCCACAAAACACAGAUCUAGAAAUUAGACAUGCUUUCUUGCGACGAUUCAUUCUAGAUUGGGUUCAUUGGCCCCAACGAAAGGAGUCAAAGUGUUACCAGAA